AACUUACGUUUUAACACUCACAUGUUGUUGAUCUUGGGUUUUCCCUCGUUGGUAAACACCCCAUGAUCUCACAUUAAAAUAAAUAAAUAAAUAUAUAUAAGCUUAUUUUGUGGGGUGAAGGAACACUUCUGACUAGUUUCGAACUAAUAGCUGGAGAUAAAGAUUAAUAGGAUUUCUGCACAGAACAAAAUCCAAUAGUAGAGCUGAAAACGUUGAAGAAAACAUAAAAUCAUCUUCAAUGGGCAAUAUCUUCGGUCAUUCAGAGACUGACAAAGAAAAAUUUGUUCGCCAUUGCAAGGAGAUGUCUUUUAAUGAUUGUCUUCAAUAUCGACUAGGUUAUCCAGGAAAAGAAGAUGAUAUCAAGCUCAACGACAACUAUCUUUUUUAUUGUAAUCAAAUUCCCAUGAGGCCAGAUGGUACGUAGUUUGUA
Long non-coding RNA from Limulus polyphemus (Atlantic horseshoe crab), 430 nucleotides. RefSeq lists it as uncharacterized. The transcript is spliced from 4 exons. Lineage: Eukaryota; Metazoa; Arthropoda; Merostomata; Xiphosura; Limulidae. The record is from RefSeq and is a predicted model, not a curated record.